This 219-nucleotide ribosomal RNA is filed under the name Triticum aestivum (bread wheat). RNAcentral's name for it is "partial small subunit ribosomal RNA". Lineage: Eukaryota; Viridiplantae; Streptophyta; Magnoliopsida; Poales; Poaceae. The record is from RNAcentral.
AUGAGCUGGAAUGUUCGAGGCCUGAACUCGUCGGCGAAGCGAGAAGCGGUUCGCGAGGUUGUUGAUGCGCAUCGCGCCAUCUUGUGCUUGCAGGAGACCAAGAUCGACGAGUGGACGCCGGCCCUCGUCCGCGACAUUGGCGGCCAAAUCCUGCGGGGAUGCGCGGUCCUACCCGCCACGGGCACUCGCGGCGGCAUCGCCAUUCUAUGGAAUCGGGAC